UACGUAGGGGGCAAGCGUUUGUCCGGAUUUAUUGGGCGUAAAGAGCGUGUAGGCGGCUUUACAGGUCCGUUGUGAAAACUCGAGGCUCAACCUCGAGACGCCGGUGGAAACCGUAAGGCUAGAGUCCGGAAGAGGAGAGUGGAAUUCCUGGUGUAGCGGUGAAAUGCGCAGAUAUCAGGAGGAACACCCGUGGCGAAAGCGGCUCUCUGGGACGGUACUGACGCUGAGACGCGAAAGCGUGGGGAGCAAACAGG
Molecule: ribosomal RNA, 254 nt
Filed under: uncultured bacterium
Lineage: Bacteria
Description: partial 16S ribosomal RNA
Rfam family: Bacterial small subunit ribosomal RNA
Source: RNAcentral